Molecule: ribosomal RNA, 61 nt
Filed under: Botryosphaeria dothidea
Lineage: Eukaryota; Fungi; Ascomycota; Dothideomycetes; Botryosphaeriales; Botryosphaeriaceae
Description: partial 28S ribosomal RNA
Source: RNAcentral
UUGACCUCGGAUCAGGUAGGGAUACCCGCUGAACUUAAGCAUAUCAAUAAGCGAGAGGAAC